CAAUGGCAGGUACAGAGGGCAGCUACCCAGCAAUGGGAUGCGAAUCUCGAAAGCCUGUCUCAGUUCGGAUUGGAGGCUGAAACCCGCCUCCAUGAAGUUGGAUUCGCUAGUAAUCGCGCAUCAGCCAUGGCGCGGUGAAUACGUUCCCGGGCCUUGUACACACCGCCCGUCAAGCCAUGGGAGCCGGGGGCGCCUGAAGUCCGGGACCGCGAGGACCGGCCUAGGGCGAAACUGGUAACUGGGGCUAAGUCGUAACAAGGUAAC
Molecule: ribosomal RNA, 264 nt
Filed under: uncultured bacterium
Lineage: Bacteria
Description: partial 16S ribosomal RNA
Rfam family: Bacterial small subunit ribosomal RNA
Source: RNAcentral